Molecule: ribosomal RNA, 400 nt
Filed under: uncultured bacterium
Lineage: Bacteria
Description: bacterial SSU rRNA
Rfam family: Bacterial small subunit ribosomal RNA
Source: RNAcentral
UGGGGAAUAUUGGACAAUGGGGGGAACCCUGAUCCAGCAAUGCCGCGUGUGUGAAGAAGGCCUUAGGGUUGUAAAGCACUUUGGCCGGGGAAGAAGUGACAGUGUUUAAGAGAUGCUGUUAUUGACGGUACCCGGAGAACAAGCACCGGCUAACUCUGUGCCAGCAGCCGCGGUAAUACAGAGGGUGCAAGCGUUAAUCGGAGUUACUGGGCGUAAAGGGCGCGCAGGCGGUCUGACAAGUGGGGUGUGAAAUCCCCGGGCUUAACCCGGGAACUGCAUUCCGGACUGUCAGGCUGGAGUACUGUAGAGGGCAGUGGAAUUUCCGGUGUAGCGGUGAAAUGCGUAGAGAUCGGAAGGAACACCAGUGGCGAAGGCGGCUGCCUGGACAGAUACUGACGCU